RNAcentral lists this long non-coding RNA (731 nucleotides) under Gossypium barbadense (sea-island cotton). RNAcentral describes it as "long non-coding RNA (GBAR_LNC022050)". Lineage: Eukaryota; Viridiplantae; Streptophyta; Magnoliopsida; Malvales; Malvaceae. The record is from RNAcentral.
UUCAUUGGAAACCCGAUACAGAAAAGAUCGGCAGGAAAUUACAUCAACAAACUCCAUAGAGUAGGAGUCAGAUUAACCCAUUAGACGGCACGUCCCUCUCCUAGUACAAACAGCCACAUUGUAGCUGCCAGCCGGUUUGCUUCUCGCCGAUGAAAGAGCAUUUAACUUGCGGAUAAGCUGCUUGGAGACUCUUGAUGGAAUCAAUAAUAAUAGCAGAAAGAAUCCAGGAAAUCCCCUCACUCGAAGCAAAAAUUUGAUCCACAACAACUUUGCAAUCAGAUUCAAUAAAAACUUGAGGCCAAUUCUUAUGAGAAAUGAUAGAGCAAGUAUCUUUAAAUGCCAUUGCUUCAACCACUUCAAUAGGUCCGACACAAAGCUGACGAUUACUUCCGUUGAUGAUUUGACCAUUAGAAUCUCGGCAAGCCAUAGCAAUACCUGCUAUUGGGUUAUCCUUGACCAUAGAAGCGUCACAAUUUAUCUUAAGACAACCCUCUUUUGGUCGCUGCCAAGAAACUCCAGUCAAAUUCGCACCACUUAAUUGUGUUCUAUUGGGAACUCAAGGCUCCCUGCCAAACCUCAAUUGGAUUGUCGUUGCUUCCACCAAAAACCAGUUCGUUACGAGCUUUCUAUAUGGACCAGCAAAGAUUAGCAAGAAGAGCUUCGGGGAAAGAUGGAAUAAUCCCAUGCCAGCAACGUUGAAACCUACCGAACCCUUCCCUUCUUGUAUCAUG